UACGUAGGGUGCAAGCGUUGUCCGGAAUUAUUGGGCGUAAAGAGCUCGUAGGCGGCUUGUCACGUCGACUGUGAAAACCCGGGGCUCAACCCGGGCCUGCAUCCGAUACUCCGGGCUGGAGGCAGGUAGGGGAGAUCGGAAUUCCGUGGUGUAGCGGUGAAAUGCGCAGAUAUCAGGAGGAACACCGGUGGCGAAGGCGGAUCUCUGGCCGUGUCCUGACGCUGAGGCGCGAAAGCUAGGGGAGCGAACAGG
Molecule: ribosomal RNA, 252 nt
Filed under: uncultured bacterium
Lineage: Bacteria
Description: partial 16S ribosomal RNA
Rfam family: Bacterial small subunit ribosomal RNA
Source: RNAcentral